This 26-nucleotide non-coding RNA is filed under the name Mus musculus (house mouse). Lineage: Eukaryota; Metazoa; Chordata; Mammalia; Rodentia; Muridae. The record is from RNAcentral.
UGAUGCCUUCAGAAACCAGACCAGAU